Non-coding RNA from Hordeum vulgare subsp. vulgare (domesticated barley), 137 nucleotides. Lineage: Eukaryota; Viridiplantae; Streptophyta; Magnoliopsida; Poales; Poaceae. The record is from Rfam.
CUAAUACUUUCUUCGUCUUAAAAUUCUUGUUUUAGAUUUUAUCUAGAUAUGAAUGUAUCUAGUCAUGUUUUAGUAUUUAUAUACAUUUAUUUCUAUACAAAUCUAAGACAAGAAUUUUGGGACGAAGGGAGUAUAAC